This 437-nucleotide ribosomal RNA is filed under the name uncultured bacterium. Its description in RNAcentral is "partial 16S ribosomal RNA". It matches the Rfam family "Bacterial small subunit ribosomal RNA", at positions 341 to 792 of the family's 1533-position model. The record is from RNAcentral.
ACGGAAGGCAGCAGUGGGGAAUAUUGGGCAAUGGAGGCAACUCUGACCUAGCAACGCCGCGUGAGUGAAGAAGGCCUUCGGAUUGUAAAGUUCUUUAAUUGGGGACGAAGAAAGUGACGGUACCCAAAGAAUAAGCCACGGCUAACUACGUGCCAGCAGCCGCGGUAAUACGUAGGUGGCAAGCGUUGUCCGGAAUGACUGGGCGUAAAGGGAGUGUAGGCGGCGCAACAAGUUAGGAGUGAAAUCCCGAGGCUUAACCUCGGAACUGCUUUUAAAACUGUUGUGCUUGAGUGAUGGAGAGGAAAGCGGAAUUCCUAGUGUAGCGGUGGAAUGCGUAGAGAUUAGGAGGAACACCAGAGGCGAAGGCGGCUUUCUGGACAUUAACUGACGCUGAGGCUCGAAAGCGUGGGGAGCAAACAGGAUUAGAUACCCUAGUA